UAGGGAAUAUUAGUAAUGGGCGCAAGCCUGAACUAGCAACGCCGCGUGUGCGAAGAAGGCCUUCGGGUUGUAAAGCACUUUUUGAGAGGAUGAGGAAGGACGGUACUCUCAGAAUAAGUCUCGGCUAACUACGUGCCAGCAGCCGCGGUAACACGUAGGAGGCGAACGUUAUCCGGAUUUACUGGGCGUAAAGCGCGUGUAGGUGGUUUGGUAAGUAGGGCGUGAAAGCUCCUGGCUCAACUGGGAGAGGCCGUUCUAAACUGCCGAACUAGAGGAUGGUAGAGGGAGGUGGAAUUCCGGGUGUGGCGGUGGAAUGCGCAGAUAUCCGGAGGAACACCAGUGGCGAAAGCGGCCUCCUGGACCAUUCCCGACACUCAGACGCGAAAGCUAGGGUAGCAAACGG
Molecule: ribosomal RNA, 403 nt
Filed under: uncultured bacterium
Lineage: Bacteria
Description: bacterial SSU rRNA
Rfam family: Bacterial small subunit ribosomal RNA
Source: RNAcentral